GGAAGUAAGAGUCGUAACAAGGUUUCCGUAGGUGAACCUGCGGAAGGAUCAUUAUUGGAUUUUGAAACUUCAGGCUGCUGCUGGCUCUCCUCGGAGGGCAUGUGCACGCUUGUUGUCCAUUAUUUCUCCCACUGUGCACAAAUUGUAGACCUUUCAGUAGGCCUAUGUUGUUUUUCACAAUCUCUGAAUGUAAUAGAAUGGUUUUGAAUCUUGGGAAAUACAAUACAACUUUCAGCAACGGAUCUCUUGGCUCUC
Molecule: unclassified non-coding RNA, 255 nt
Filed under: plant metagenome
Description: partial contains small subunit ribosomal RNA, internal transcribed spacer 1, and 5.8S ribosomal RNA
Rfam family: Eukaryotic small subunit ribosomal RNA (bases 1-54)
Source: RNAcentral